GACGAACGCUGGCGGCGUGCCUAAUACAUGCAAGUAGAACGCACAGUUUAUACCGUAGCUUGCUACACCAUAGACUGUGAGUUGCGAACGGGUUAGUAACGCGUAGGUAACCUGCCUGGUAGCUGGGGAUAACUAUUGGAAACGAUAGCUAAUACCGCAUAAUAUUAAUUAUUGCAUGAUAAUUAAUUGAAAUGUGCAAUUGCACCACUACCAGAUGGACCUGCGUUGUAUUAGCUAGUAGGUGAGGUAACGGCUCACCUAGGCGACGAUACAUAGCCGACCUGAGAGGGUGAUCGGCCACACUGGGAGUGAGACACGGCCCAGACUCCUACGGGAGGCAGCAGUAGGGAAUCUGCGGCAAUGGACGAAAGUCUGACCGAGCAACGCCGAGUGAGUGAAGAAGGUUUUCGGAUCGUAAAGCUCUGUUGUAAGGGAAGAACGGGUGUGAGAGUGGAAAGUUCACACUGUGACGGUAUCUGACCAGAAAGGGACGGCUAACUACGUG
Molecule: ribosomal RNA, 505 nt
Filed under: uncultured bacterium
Lineage: Bacteria
Description: partial 16S ribosomal RNA
Rfam family: Bacterial small subunit ribosomal RNA
Source: RNAcentral